This 241-nucleotide long non-coding RNA is filed under the name Mytilus galloprovincialis (Mediterranean mussel). Lineage: Eukaryota; Metazoa; Mollusca; Bivalvia; Mytilida; Mytilidae. The record is from RNAcentral.
UUUUUUUUUAUUAUUAUUGUAUUAUGUUAUAUUGCUGUCUGCAUUUCCAGUGACCAGACCAAAAUUUUUCAAAUUUUAUAUUUGGGCGGGGGAUGUUAUAUACCUCUAUUUGGUAUUUCUGGUUACCGGAAAUGUAGGACAUAAUUUAUACUGUUUAUUGUAUUUUACGGGACUGUAUACCUUUUUUAUGUUUGUCGGCGGCGAACAGUUAGUGUCGUCUGUCACCCAUGUGUUUGUUAAA